AGUUCGAUCAUGGCUCAGAUUGAACGCUGGCGGGAUGUUUUUACACAUGCAAGUCGAACGGCUUGGCACGGACUUCCAGGUCUGGUGGCGAAAAUUAGCGAACGGGUGAGUAAUGUAUCGGACGUGCCUAGUAGCGGGGAUAACAUACGCGGCGUAGCUAAUACCGCCUUACCUUGUCGGAAAGCGGGGACCUUCGGGCCUCGCACUAUUAGAGCAGCCGAUAUCGGAUUAGCUAGUUGGUGGGGUAACGGCUCACCAAGGCGACGAUCCGUAGCUGGUUUGAGAGGACGACCAGCCACACUGGGACUACAGACGGCCGAACUCCUGAAGGCGGCAGUGAAAUUUUGGACAAUGGGGGAAACCUGAUCCCAGCCAUCCGCGUGUGCGAUGAAGGCCUUCGGGUUAUCGCUUUUUGGCGGAAAGAAACGGCACGGGAUAAUACCCGUGCAACUGACGGCUACCUGCAGAAGAUAAGCACCGGCUAACUACGUGCCAGCAGCCAUGACCAAUACGUAGGGUGCAAGCGUUAAUCGGAAUUACUGGGCGUAAAGCGUGCGCAGGCGGUUCGGAAGAAGAUGUGAAAUCUGAAGAGCAACUUUGAACUGCAUUUUUAACUACCGAGCUAGAGUGUGUCAGAGGAGGUGGAAUUCCGCGUGUAGCAGUGAAAUGCGUAGAUAUGCGGAGGAACACCGAUGGCGAAGGCAGCUACAAGGAUAACGCGGCGCUCAUGCACAGCGUGGGGGCAAACAGGAUUAGAUACCCUGGUAGUCCACGCCCUAAACGAUGUCAACUAGCUGUUGGAACCUUCGGGCCUUGGUAGCGCAACUAACGCGUGAAGUUGACCGCACCAGGAGUACGGUCGCAAGAUUAAAACUCAAAGGAAUUGACGGGGACCCGCACAAGCGGUGGAUGAUGUGGAUUAAUUCAGUGCAACGCGAAAACCUUACCUACCCUUGACAUGUCUGGAAUCCCGAAGAGAUUUGGGAGUGCUCACCGAAGAGAACCGGAACACAGGUGCUGCAUGGCUGUCGUCAGCUCGUGUCGUGAGAUGUUAGGUUAAGUCCCGCAACGAGCGCUAUUGUCAUUAGUUGCUACGAAAGGGCACUCUAAUGAGAUUACCGGUGACAAACCGGAGGAAGGUGAGGAUGACGUCGAUCCUCAUGGCCCUUAUGGGUAGGGCUUCACACGUCAUACAAUGGUCGGGACAGAGGGUCGCCAACCCGCGAGGGGAGCGUCGAAACCCGAUCGUAGUCCGGAUCGCAGUCUACCCAACUCGACUGCGUAAGUCGGAAUCGCUAGUAAUCGCGGAUCAGCAUGUCGCGGUGAAUACGUUCCCGGGUCUUGUACACACCGCCCGUCACACCAUGGGGAGUGGGUUUUACCAGAAGUAGUUAGCUAACCGUAAGGAGGGCGAUUACCACGGUAGGAUUCAUGACUGGGGUGAAGUCGUAACAAGGUAA
Molecule: ribosomal RNA, 1460 nt
Filed under: uncultured Bordetella sp.
Lineage: Bacteria; Pseudomonadati; Pseudomonadota; Betaproteobacteria; Burkholderiales; Alcaligenaceae
Description: partial 16S-23S ribosomal RNA intergenic spacer
Rfam family: Bacterial small subunit ribosomal RNA
Source: RNAcentral